UUGUUUGUUGGUAAAUCGUAGGUGUACCCUAGCUUUCGACCUUGCUUAUUCGUGAAUCUCAGUUACUCUGCCCUAGUGUAUAACACAGGUCUACCUCCCUCUCUUCAUCUUUCAAAAUCAGUAUUUUGUCAAAGUAAAGAUUGAAAAUUUUUUUGUUGGUGAAGCAGUUGCACCCUAGCUUUCAACCUUGCUCAUUCGUGAAUCCCAAGUACUCUGCACUAGUAAAAAUACAGUAUUGCCUCCCACUCUUCAUCUCUCAAAAUCAGCAUUUUGAUAAAGCGAAAUUGCAAAUUUGUUUGUUCGUAAAUCGCAGGUGUACCUUAGCUUUUGACCUUUCUUAUUCGUGAAUCUUAGGUACUCUUCCCUAGUGAAAAAUGCAGGUCUACCUCCCUCUCUUCAUCUCUCAAAAUCAGUAUUUUGACAAAGCAAAAAUUGUAAAUUUGUUUUUUGGUGAAGCACGUGCACCCUAACUUUCGACCUUGCUCAUUCGUGAAUCCCAAG
RNAcentral lists this long non-coding RNA (501 nucleotides) under Nicotiana benthamiana. RNAcentral's name for it is "long non-coding RNA (NBEN_LNC002329)". Lineage: Eukaryota; Viridiplantae; Streptophyta; Magnoliopsida; Solanales; Solanaceae. The record is from RNAcentral.